This 274-nucleotide ribosomal RNA is filed under the name uncultured bacterium. RNAcentral describes it as "partial 16S ribosomal RNA". It matches the Rfam family "Bacterial small subunit ribosomal RNA", at positions 523 to 796 of the family's 1533-position model. The record is from RNAcentral.
AUACGGAGGGUGCGAUCGUUAAUCGGAAUUACUGGGCGUAAAGCGUACGUAGGCGGUUGGUUAAGUUAGAUGUGAAAGCCCCGGGCUUAACCUGGGAACUGCAUUUAAAACUGGCGAACUAGAGUUGAGUAGAGGGGAGUGGAAUUUCAGGUGUAGCGGUGAAAUGCGUAGAGAUCUGAAGGAACACCAGUGGCGAAGGCGACUCCCUGGACUCGAACUGACGCUGAGGUACGAAAGCGUGGGUAGCAAACGGGAUUAGAUACCCCUGUAGUCC